AAUUUUCAGAAUUAUACACACUUGUAGUUCCCAAGAUGUAAGUGGAAGUGAAGUUAUACAAUGAAAUGAAUGAAUUGAUUAGAUAUACAUGUAGAUGAGACCCUAUAGCUACAGUACAUGUAAUUGGUAUGUAUUUGUUACAGUAUUUGUAGUGGUAUGACAAUAAUGCUUAAUCAUGUGCAAAUUUAAAAAGGAGUUCAUUCAAACUAAUGAAAUAAAAAAAAACACUAUCAAUCAACAGAUCAAGGGAAAAGUUAAUCUGCUAUAUUCAUGUAUGGAAUAGGCAUGUAGUUACAUUUAUUUACCUCUGUAAUUUUUAGUCCAUGUGUAAAUUUAUGAGAUUAAAAUUUUAUAUUCUGGAUAUCCUAAGAUUUCAAUUCUUAUUUCAUAUUAAUAUUAUUCCCAUGUGCUAAUUUAUGCUUGUAGUUUGAGGAAAAUUAUCAAAAUAGCUCGACUAAAAUCAAACAAUUACUGAUAUCAUGAACUAGGUAAUUUUUGCCUUGUCUGAAACUGAUUGUAUGGUGUACAAUACUGUCUGGGCAGGGUUCAUUGGUCUAUAUAAAGUGUCAUAUUUUGGUCUGUUUAUUGUAUACUACACAAGCAAGCUAUAAUCAAUUAAGAAAUCAGCUGUUUUUGGUGUAAGCUAUGAUUGUAAGGGGCUAAGACAUGUAAGAAGGGGGCUUGAAAAUGAUGAGUUGUGUUUUUAUAGGCACUAAGUAUACUUAUAUAUAUACAGGUUAUAUGUAGUACACAUACAAUGUACAUGAAGACAGUUUGUUUUCAUAAGUAAUUUAUAAUAAAUUAUAAAACAUGUAACGUGGUCACGAUUUCCAAUGAGACAACUAUCCACUAGAGUCCAAAUGACUGAAUACUGCCAACUAUAAAUGAUCAUAUGUACAGCUUUCAACAAUGAGCAAAACUGAUACAGCAUAGUGAGCUAUAAAAUGUCCUGAAACAGGGUUAUAAUUAUUAUUGGCAAUUCAAAAACCUGGGUUUAUGAGUAUUGCAAUGCCCAGCCCAGUGGGAAAUACUAGUAAAAAACCUAGGUCUGGGUUUUACUAAAAAUCACCAUAAAGUCACCAAUUGAUCAUGUCAGAGCUCGAGCUUAAAAUAUAAUACAGUUUUCUCCUAAUUAUAAGUUUGGUAAAUCAUUGGAGAUUAAAUUGAUGUAAUCUUUUUUGCUUGAACCUUGACUACAGAAACAAACAUUACAUGUGGAUUUUAUUAUAUUACAGGAACUGUAGGAAGUUUUCCAAGAGUCUGAUUGCUAAGUAUGCAUUACAGGAUUUUAUCAUUGGAGCAACAUCUUAGGAGGAUAAACUUGUGCAAACGUAUGAAGGAAUCCUUGAAAUAUACAAAUAGCAAUUAUAUGCAGAAGAGGACUCUUAUAAACAUUAUAAACAGACAUGAAGUAAUAGUAGUGGUGUAUUCAAGAAGUGUAAACCACCUGGAAUAAACUAUUGUGUAUAUUUUUUCAACCACAAGUACUUUCAGAAUAUAGUACAGUUCAAAUUCAAAUUAUUGUGUCAACAG
RNAcentral lists this long non-coding RNA (1533 nucleotides) under Mytilus galloprovincialis (Mediterranean mussel). Lineage: Eukaryota; Metazoa; Mollusca; Bivalvia; Mytilida; Mytilidae. The record is from RNAcentral.